RNAcentral lists this ribosomal RNA (497 nucleotides) under uncultured bacterium. RNAcentral's name for it is "partial 16S ribosomal RNA". It matches the Rfam family "Bacterial small subunit ribosomal RNA", at positions 28 to 507 of the family's 1533-position model. The record is from RNAcentral.
GAUGAACGCUGGCGGCGUGCCUAAUACAUGCAAGUCGAGCGAACAGACGAGGAGCUUGCUCCUCUGACGUUAGCGGCGGACGGGUGAGUAACACGUGGAUAACCUACCUAUAAGACUGGGAUAACUUCGGGAAACCGGAGCUAAUACCGGAUAAUAUAUUGAACCGCAUGGUUCAAUAGUGAAAGACGGUUUUGCUGUCACUUAUAGAUGGAUCCGCGCCGCAUUAGCUAGUUGGUAAGGUAACGGCUUACCAAGGCAACGAUGCGUAGCCGACCUGAGAGGGUGAUGGGCCACACUGGAACUGAGACACGGUCCAGACUCCUACGGGAGGCAGCAGUAGGGAAUCUUCCGCAAUGGGCGAAAGCCUAACGGAGCAACGCAGCGUGAGUGAUGAAGGUCUUCGGAUCGUAAAACUCUGUUAUUAGGGAAGAACAAAUGUGUAAGUAACUAUGAACGUCUUGACGGUACCUAAUCAGAAAGCCACGGCUAACUACGUG